RNAcentral lists this RNase P RNA (499 nucleotides) under Candidatus Omnitrophota bacterium. Its description in RNAcentral is "Candidatus Omnitrophica bacterium RNase P RNA component class A". It matches the Rfam family "Bacterial RNase P class A". Rfam says of the family: Ribonuclease P (RNase P) is a ubiquitous endoribonuclease, found in archaea, bacteria and eukarya as well as chloroplasts and mitochondria. Its best characterised activity is the generation of mature 5'-ends of tRNAs by cleaving the 5'-leader elements of precursor-tRNAs. Lineage: Bacteria; Pseudomonadati; Candidatus Omnitrophota. The record is from RNAcentral.
GGCACAGGCCGGAUGGCCGCCCCGCACCUUUUUAAUAUUUGUCGACUUAAGAAAGAGUACAAUUCUUAAGCUUUCUGAAUACUAAAAAGGUGCGGGGAGGAAAGUCCGGGCUCCAGAGGGCAGCGUAGCGGGUAAUUCCCGUCCCCCGCACCUUUUUAGUAUUCACAAAGCUAAUAGCCGUGUAUCUUUUAGACUUCCUGAAUACAUAAAAGGUGCGGGGCGGAUUAGAGCCACAGAGACGAGUCCCGCACCUUUUUAGUAGGUGCGGGGGGUGAAACGCGGCAAUCUCUACGCGGAGCAAAACCAAAUAGGCCUCGCUGAUAAGAAUGGCCCGUUCGGCGAAUGCGAGGCGGGUAGGUCGCAUUAACCUGACAGCAAUGUCAGGCAAUAGAUAGAUGGCCGUCACCCCGCACCUUUUUUAUAUUCAAUCUACGUCUUCAAUAGUUUGAAUACUAAAAAGGUGCGGGGACAGAACCCGGCUUACAGGCCUGUGCCUUUA